RNAcentral lists this ribosomal RNA (1364 nucleotides) under metagenome. Its description in RNAcentral is "bacterial LSU rRNA". It matches the Rfam family "Bacterial large subunit ribosomal RNA", at positions 1543 to 2925 of the family's 2925-position model. The record is from RNAcentral.
CCGCUCUUCAAUCUGAAGACGUGAUGUGGACUGAAAAUAAGUAGGGAAGCACGUGAGCUGACUGUCAAGAAAAGCCGCUAUUGUUUGCAGGAUACCCGUACCGUAAACCGACACAGGUGGAUGAGGAGAGAAUCCUAAGGCCGACGGGAGAAGCAUUGUUAAGGAACUCGGCAAAAUGACUCCGUAACUUCGGGAGAAGGAGUGCCAGUAAGAUGGCCGCAGAGAAUUGGCCCAAGCAACUGUUUAGCAAAAACACAGGUCUAUGCAAAACCGAAAGGUGAGGUAUAUGGGCUGACGCCUGCCCGGUGCUGGAAGGUUAAGGGGAGAGGUUAGCGCAAGCGAAGCUUUGAACUUAAGCCCCAGUAAACGGCGGCCGUAACUAUAACGGUCCUAAGGUAGCGAAAUUCCUUGUCGGGUAAGUUCCGACCCGCACGAAAGGCGUAAUGAUUUGGGCACUGUCUCAACAAUGCACCCGGUGAAAUUGAAAUACCAGUGAAGAUGCUGGUUACCUGCGCCAGGACGGAAAGACCCCAUGGAGCUUUACUCCAGCUUGAUACUGGGAUUCGGUAUUGCAUGUACAGGAUAGGUGGGAGGCUAGGAAAUGGUAACGCCAGUUGCCAUGGAGCCAAUGUUGGGAUACCACCCUUGCAGUACUGGGUUUCUAACCAGCAGCCGUGAUCCGGCUGGGGGACAAUGUCAGGUGGGGAGUUUGACUGGGGCGGUCGCCUCCGAAAGGGUAUCGGAGGCGCUCAAAGGUUCCCUCAGAAUGGUUGGAAACCAUUCGAAGAGUGCAAAGGCAGAAGGGAGCUUGACUGCGACACCGACGGGUGGAGCAGGUACGAAAGUAGGACUUAGUGAUCCGGUGGUAUAAAGUGGGAUUGCCAUCGCUCAACGGAUAAAAGCUACCCUGGGAUAACAGGCUUAUCACUCCCAAGAGUUCACAUCGACGGAGUGGUUUGGCACCUCGAUGUCGGCUCAUCGCAUCCUGGGGCUGAAGUAGGUCCUAGGGGUUGGGCUGUUCGCCCAUUAAAGCGGUACGCGAGCUGGGUUCAGAACGUCGUGAGACAGUUCGGUCCCUAUCCGGCGUGGGCGUAAAAUAUUUGAGAGGAGCUGUCCUUAGUACGAGAGGACCGGGAUGGACUGGCCGCUGGUGUAUCUGUUGUCUUACCAAAGGCAUAGCAGAGUAGCCAAGCCGGGAAGGGAUAAACGCUGAAGGCAUCUAAGCGUGAAGCCCCCCUCAAGAUGAGAUAUCUCAUAACGUCAAGUUAGUAAGACCCCUUGAAGACGACGAGGUAGAUAGGGCAGAGGUGGAAGUGUGGUAACACAUGGAGCUGACUGUUACUAAUAGGUCGAGGGCAUAACCU